Molecule: non-coding RNA, 89 nt
Organism: Podarcis muralis (Common wall lizard)
Lineage: Eukaryota; Metazoa; Chordata; Lepidosauria; Squamata; Lacertidae
Source: RefSeq, a predicted model, not a curated record
CGGGAUGCUGGUUGGAAUGACCAUCCCCUCGCUGUGGUACUGGUGCACAGACCAGGUCAUUGUUCAAAGAUCUUUGGCAGCCAAGAACC